UAGUGUUACAGCUUUUUUAGAGUUUGUCUGGUAGGUUUUCUAGCAUCUGCUGGAAAACCCCC
Cavia aperea (Brazilian guinea pig) is the source of this 62-nucleotide small nuclear RNA. Its record names the gene U7. It matches the Rfam family "U7 small nuclear RNA". From Rfam's summary of the family: Animal histone pre-mRNAs are spliced by a different mechanism than nuclear pre-mRNAs and self-splicing introns. This processing involves the U7 snRNP, which contains only one RNA species: U7. The 5' end of U7 RNA is thought to base-pair to a conserved spacer element downstream of the cleavage site in histone pre-mRNA. Lineage: Eukaryota; Metazoa; Chordata; Mammalia; Rodentia; Caviidae. The record is from Ensembl.